UAUCUCACGAGGAUGAAAUUAUCUUCAGGAUAUUUUGCCUUUCUUUUGCAAUGCAAACUCUUACACCUCAACUCAGUGGUCCCGAAAUCAGACAUAAUGAAGGAGACAAAAUGUAUCCUAGUUCAUCCUAUGAAGGUCCACACAUUGAAAUGAGAGGAUCACCUCCAUAUGCAGAGACUAGAAACCCAUGCCCUUAUUCAGAGGAUGGAAGCCCGUGGCUAGAAUCGACUAACUGGGAAGUGGGUGUCCCAUCUGGAUCACCACAUCAGACUGAAGAGCAAGAAGAGGAUGAGAAAGUGUGCUUGUGCUCUUGUUCCUGGAAAUGGUCCAUUUAAAUUCCAAUAUUUCUUUCCUUCCUUGUUCAAAUAUCAGUUCCACUUGCAGUUAUUUUUUUCUUUUAUCUUGUUUUCCCUGCCCCAAAAGAACUGUCCUAAAAUGAUAGAAAUUUGUCAUUCUCUUUAAUGAGUCUGGCCAAAGUGGAACUUCUGAGAAUGGUAAGAAAAUGAUUUGAAAUUGCUAGUUGGGCCUCCUCCCCGCCUAUGAAGACAUAUGUUUAUUUAAAAGCCAAAGAACUUUAAGCCUUGAUUCCCUAAGGAGUUAAGAAAGAGACAGCCCAGAAGAAAGCCCUUCUCCUCUCUGACGAGAAUAAGAAGCGUAGAAUGGAUAAUGAUAUUAACUUCUGCAAAUUGAUUUAUAUCUUUACAAUUUUUUUUGGAAUGCAUGCACCUUUCAUGGCUGUUCUUGAAUGAAGAUGUCAGCAUCUGUUAAUUGUUGGCCUAGAAAGUUGUGAUUGGAUUUAACCCAGUAGGGAAGGUCUGUUAUCUACCAAAAGAAUGUAAUUAAACAUCGAAAAUACUUUUGGGUUUUAGUCUUUGAGAAGAAUGUUGCCUUUUCCAAAACUACCUACGGCCCACCCCAUCCCCAUCCUGUGCCUAUAAAGACUCCAGACUCAGUCAACAAAAGGGGAGAUUGUUGGACUUCAUGGAGAAAAAUGGAAUUUGGGGAAUAGAUGGCCAAACUUCGGGGAAGAAACAGCCGAACUAUGGAAGAGAUUACCUGACUUCAGGGGAAGAUGACCUGCCCAUCCUAUCCCCUCUCCAACUCCCCUCUCUGCUAAGAGCCAUGUUCAUUGCUUAAUAAAAACUAUUUGUUUGCCUAUU
Molecule: non-coding RNA, 1160 nt
Organism: Macaca mulatta (Rhesus monkey)
Lineage: Eukaryota; Metazoa; Chordata; Mammalia; Primates; Cercopithecidae
Source: RefSeq, a predicted model, not a curated record